CAGCCAUAUGGCAUUAAAACACCAGUUCUUGUACAAUCACCAAAGUUAACCAGCAUAGAGCUUGGUCAGUACCUAGGUGUGUGACCAUUUGGGAAUACCAGGUGCUGUAAG
Acanthosepion pharaonis is the source of this 111-nucleotide non-coding RNA. The record is from the annotation of a GenBank genome assembly. NCBI's taxonomy places the organism in Eukaryota, Metazoa, Mollusca, Cephalopoda, Sepiida, Sepiidae.